RNAcentral lists this ribosomal RNA (244 nucleotides) under uncultured bacterium. RNAcentral describes it as "partial 16S ribosomal RNA". It matches the Rfam family "Bacterial small subunit ribosomal RNA", at positions 15 to 249 of the family's 1533-position model. The record is from RNAcentral.
GAUCAUGGCUCAGGAUGAACGCUAGCUACAGGCUUAACACAUGCAAGUCGAGGGGCAUCAGUUUGGUUUGCUUGCAUACCAAAGCUGGCGACCGGCGCACGGGUGAGUAACACGUAUCCAACCUGCCUCAUACUCGGGGGUAGCCUUUCGAAAGAAAGAUUAAUAUCCGAUAGCAUAUAUUUCCCGCAUGGGUUUUAUAUUAAAGAAAUUCGGUAUGAGAUGGGGAUGCGUUCCAUUAGUUUGG